This 253-nucleotide ribosomal RNA is filed under the name uncultured bacterium. Its description in RNAcentral is "partial 16S ribosomal RNA". It matches the Rfam family "Bacterial small subunit ribosomal RNA", at positions 524 to 776 of the family's 1533-position model. The record is from RNAcentral.
UACGUAGGGCGCAAGCGUUGUCCGGAAUUAUUGGGCGUAAAGAGCUCGUAGGCGGCCUGUCACGUCGGGUGUGAAAGCCCCCGGCUCAACUGGGGAGGGUCAUUCGAUACUGAUCGACUGGAAGGCAGGAGAGGGAAGCGGAAUUCCCGGUGUAGUGGUGAAAUGCGUAGAUAUCGGGAGGAACACCAGUGGCGAAGGCGGCUUCCUGGCCUGUUCUUGACGCUGAGGCGCGAAAGCUAGGGGAGCAAACGGG